UUUUCUGCAGCAGCCAUUCGAU
This 22-nucleotide non-coding RNA is filed under the name Rattus norvegicus (Norway rat). Lineage: Eukaryota; Metazoa; Chordata; Mammalia; Rodentia; Muridae. The record is from RNAcentral.